UCCCUGGUGGCUCAGACGGUAAAGCGUCUGCCUGCAGUGUGGGAAACCUGGGUUCAGUUCCUGGUUUGGGAG
Molecule: transfer RNA, 72 nt
Filed under: Ovis aries (sheep)
Lineage: Eukaryota; Metazoa; Chordata; Mammalia; Artiodactyla; Bovidae
Rfam family: tRNA
About the family: Transfer RNA (tRNA) molecules are approximately 80 nucleotides in length. Their secondary structure includes four short double-helical elements and three loops (D, anti-codon, and T loops).
Source: Rfam by way of RNAcentral